GGUGAGGAGAGGACCUACAAGAUUUCCAAAACACUCCUAAAAAAAUUAAAAAGUUUGGCGCGCAUUUUGCCGCCAAUUCACCCAAUCCUAUAGGCUAUAACCCCGGCCUCGUUUGAGCAACUAAAGGAAAACCCAACUGUUUCAGCGCUUUCUCCUCUCCUUCUCCAUCCCGGUGAGGUCGGCGCCCUCUUUCUCUUCACUGUCGCGUCUUGUCAUCUUCGUUAACCUUCGUAUCCUGCAGCAUGUUUCAUCGCUUGCUUCCUGUUGCAACAUCCGCGAUCACCACCACCCUUUCGAUGAGAAGGGGAUCCCUCGCCCACAACCAUCUGUUGAGGUGAUUUUGAUUAGAAGAAUCAUCCUCUGGGGUUAGUGUUUCGCCCAGAUUCGAUUUCUCUUUUCGAACUUUCCCUCCUUGCUCUUGUUCUUGUUUUGUACUUUCAACCUACGGUGAGUGUUUUGGGACUUUGUCUCGGUUAUCUAAUCAAUGACGGGCUAUUUAGUUUAGUGCUGAUUUCCAGGAAAGAUAUUCGAAUGUUGAUGGCGCUUCCUCCAUUCGCACCGAAGUCGUGCUUAUUUUUCACGGUGGUAGAAGAGAUGGGUUGGUCACAACUUUGCAACUACAAGGCUAGAGGUCAUUGUAUGUAUACGACUGCCAAUAUUCAGAUUUGGUAUGGAGACUAUGGACUAUAGUAUGAGUCUUGAGGAAAACUCAUUUGUCGUUGUUGCAAAUGGUAGACGAACUUGAGAGGCUAGUUAGCUUAUUUGUCAUUCGUUUUUGCUUGAACAUUGAUCUAGCUAGGCUUUAUUUUUUUGGCUCAAUACCCGGACCAUGUAACAUGUUUGAUUCUCUUAUUUGUGUGUAAAACGCUUUCAGAUUAAUAUAUUAUAAGUUCACAUAUU
This is a long non-coding RNA of Rhododendron vialii, 900 nucleotides long. RefSeq lists it as uncharacterized. Lineage: Eukaryota; Viridiplantae; Streptophyta; Magnoliopsida; Ericales; Ericaceae. The transcript has 3 exons. The record is from RefSeq and is a predicted model, not a curated record.